CUGCUGUUGGGUGUUGUAUCGUUGAUGGCUGGGUCGACGAUGCUUCCAGGAUAUGGUGGAUACCAAACCGCAACGCCGCCGCCUUAAGUCCCGAAGUAUAACUCUGCUUAGAGCUGCAUCACUAAAGAGCCGAAGUACUGCACCGAGGCUCCCAAUUACUACACCACUAAGGCAUAGGAACGACUACGUAUGCUGCCCAUGUCAACUACACCGAAGCGCCUAAGUACUACACUACAACCUACGCUACCCCGAGCUGCUACACCGUCGCCCCGAAGUAAUACUCUGCGUAAAAGAAUUCGUAUAAAAGGAGUGAGAAAAGGUGGUCGAAAUCAAUCGAGUGACGAUCUCCGACACGGCAACAAUUGCAGUGCACUAUCUGUCAUCAAUUACAUUCCUCAUCGUGUAACCAGUUCGUAAUCAUGGUUAACUAUAGCGUCGUGCUGCUGUUGGGUGUUGUAUCGUUGUUGGCUGGGUCGAACACUGGUGUACCGACGUUUCCAGGAUAUGGCGGAUACCAAACCGCAGUGCCGCCACCUUACUAGACAACUUACGAGUUGGUUACUGCUGCAACGACCAGUUGCGACCGAGGCCCCCAAGUGCUACACCAUUAAGGCACCGGAGUUUUAUACCACAACUAACGCUGCCCCGAGCUACUACACCGACGCCCCGAAGUAUUAAUACUCUGCCGCGACUUUUCAGUCAGAUUUUCAGAGCCUGAUUGAAGUGAUUAACGAAUUUGACGAAUGUGACUCCAUUUCCCGCCAUAAACUGGAGUUCUACUGUCGGGCACUAGAGUUCUAUACUUCUAUUGUCGGGUAUUUUUAAUAACAUUUGGAGGAAUCUUUUGGCUCCGUCAGUAGGUGGCUAAAAUCAAGUUGUCCCCCAGCCCGGCCAGCCGCCAGAUGACGCGAGUGUCUUUGAGAGGACGAAAUUUUCGCCAUUUUGUUCCAAAACGCCAAGGGAAAAGGUAUUCCAAAUUCGUUACGGAAUUGCGGUGUCGAUCUACAUUUUCAGCAUUGAAAUUUUUAUGGCAAUCUGGCAUAUAAUUUCCACUUGGCCAAAUAAUCGAUCACGUGGACUGAAACUGCUUUCCAAUUUCGCCUAAAUGUCGUCCGUUGUUAGCUGUACCUGUUCGGAUGUACGUCUCAUCUCACGCAGAAACAAUACAGAGUUGGUGUUCAGGUUGGAGAUCCCGUUGCUUAACUGUUGCAGAAUGUGAGAACUCAACGAAGUCUGAGCUCCAUGGCUGGCAUCAUGGCCACAGUGGUUUUGUUGCAGCCAGCUGGUAAAAGGUGUGAUCGAGUGAAGUUGAGCUGCAACUGCUGCAUGCAGUUUAUCGAGCUGGUGUUAUCCUGAAGUGUCAUUGCAGGAAGACUUUUUGAAAUGGACUUGGUGAGACUUAAAGCUAUGCCUAUGCUGUUCAAUGUGCAGUGGUUUUGCAGCUUGUUUCCAGUUGAGAGAUGUCAUUAUGCAGCUGAUACAGGAUUGAAGAAAAAGAACUGAAGUAGCUGUGCUGGAGUUCUCCUGAAAUUGCUGUGCCACAGGAGUUGCAAAUAGUGUUUGGUUCUUCAUAUAAGUUUAUUUGAAGAGUCAGGAGAUGAUCAUCCACUUCUGCCUAUAACUUAUGUAAAACUUCAAAGUUGUAAGAAAUAUACAAGUCAAGUGCUAAA
Daphnia pulex (common water flea) is the source of this 1670-nucleotide long non-coding RNA. RefSeq lists it as uncharacterized. NCBI's taxonomy places the organism in Eukaryota, Metazoa, Arthropoda, Branchiopoda, Diplostraca, Daphniidae. The record is from RefSeq and is a predicted model, not a curated record. The transcript is spliced from 6 exons.